CUAUGAGAUGCUUUGGUACUUUCUUAUUGAUAAGUAAAUUUGCACCACUUAGUCAUAAAUAUUGUCAACACACCCCUUCAGUGAACAUCAUUUAGGCUUAAUCUCUUUGAUAAUGUUUUUAAAAAUACACAGGUCCCUCUUAAACGACACCGGAUAUUACUGUGUUUGAUUGCUGUGUCUGAAGGCUCUAGGCAUUUUAUAAUGAAAGAGUUACGAUUUCGAAAAUCCCCCAAAUUAUAAAUAGAGUGCCCCACCUCUGCUUAGGCCUUAGAAGGUGAGACAACGGCCUGCCUCAACAUACCACCAGGAGCAGCUCCCCCUCAGGCAUGGGGGUGAAGAGACAGAGAAGACUAUGAGCCCAGAGGUUCCCAAGGAAGACGGUCGGCGUCGCCUGAGAGGAGGCAGACCCCUGGGCUGACCCUAGGGAGGUGCGUUCCAGAGCGGGGGCACCCUGCAGCUUCAUGCAGCAACUUAGAUCAUCCUCAGCUCUCCUCCCACUCCUGGCAGGCUGGCCAGGCAGCACCUGACGCCCCCUCCACCACCACCACCUCUGGGGGAGGUGCCCUGGGGACCACAGGGGACGCACCUCCCCCUCUGGGCAUCACUGAUGAGACGUGAGAAGAUAACCUGGCCUUUAGAGCACCCUGUCUGUGGCCCAUGGUUACAGCCACCCGUGGACACUGGAACACUGGCCUGCAGAUUAUUUUCACUCUGAAACGGAUCGAGAAUGACACACCAUUUGGCAGCAAUUUCUUUUCCUCUCCACCCCCAGGACACAGCCACAGAUUGAUGGCAUCCCUUUAAGACUCCAACCCGAAAUUUUG
Molecule: long non-coding RNA, 824 nt
Organism: Nyctereutes procyonoides (raccoon dog)
Lineage: Eukaryota; Metazoa; Chordata; Mammalia; Carnivora; Canidae
Exons: 3
Source: RefSeq, a predicted model, not a curated record